RNAcentral lists this transfer RNA (96 nucleotides) under Anaerolinea sp. Its description in RNAcentral is "tRNA-Sec". It matches the Rfam family "Selenocysteine transfer RNA". RNAcentral also lists the same sequence under 1 other name. The record is from RNAcentral. Lineage: Bacteria; Bacillati; Chloroflexota; Anaerolineae; Anaerolineales; Anaerolineaceae.
GGGGGUGGAUGUGUCCCGGUGGGCGCCCCGGUCUUCAAAAUCGGUGGUGGGUGCCGCAGAGGCAGCCACGGUGGGUUCGACUCCCAUCCACUCCCG